RNAcentral lists this unclassified non-coding RNA (805 nucleotides) under Hevea brasiliensis (rubber tree). Lineage: Eukaryota; Viridiplantae; Streptophyta; Magnoliopsida; Malpighiales; Euphorbiaceae. The record is from RNAcentral.
GAGAAAAAUAGUGGUGCCGAACCCAAUCCAGCCAAUUUUUUAACCAAACUCCAUUUUCUCAAGCCUUUUUUUUUAUCACCACAGAAUGUUCUCACCUUGAAGAAGUUAGUUGCUGUACACUUUCACCCAAGUACCCAAAAUUGAAGAAGUGGAGAGAAAGUGUCGCACUGUCCAUCUCUUAACAUGACGUUUUUGAUGCCAAUGGUGCCUGCAUGCAGUUUCCUUCCAUCAUUUAGCCACUAUAAAACUCUCCCAAGCCUCCAUUAUUAGCCAAUAAUUGGAAAGAAAGAAGAAUCAACAGUUUUGGGGAAACUAAGUCUACAGCUAAUACACGAACUCGACAAAACAUCAGCAGAGGAGAAGGUGGUCACAGAGGUCACUGGAACCUUAUCUACACCAUGAAAUCUUCAUUAGGCCAUUUUGAACCUGUUGAGUAAAAAAUAAAAAAUAAAAAAAGACUAGCAGCUCUUUGGGUUUCAUGUGAACAGCCCCAAUUUCUUCAAUUUUUCCUGCCUUCAGGUUUAACAAUGCAAAUUUCAUUUGAUUGUCGGAAAGCAAAUUGGGCAAAGCUUCUCCAAUCUUCCAUGCAGUGUCAAGUGAAGGCCCUUUUAUUCCUAUUCCUAGACUUGCAUAUCUAUUCAGUCCAUGAGGUGAAGAUUACUAGAUGUUAUAAUUUUUAGCAAUUUCUUGAUAAGAAGUUUAAAUCUUUAAUGAUUUAAUUGACUAUUAGCCUGGUUGAUUCUCACAUCAUACGCUUUUCACCUUAAGUUCCACAUAAACAACCUGAGCAAGAGAUUUUAUUGCU